UGAUGUGAAAGCCCACGGCUCAACCGUGGAGGGUCAUUGGAAACUGGAAAACUUGAGUGCAGAAGAGGAAAGUGGAAUUCCAUGUGUAGCGGUGAAAUGCGCAGAGAUAUGGAGGAACACCAGUGGCGAAGGCGACUUUCUGGUCUGUAACUGACGCUGAGGAGCGAAAGCAUGGGUAGCGAACAGGAUUAGAUACCCUGGUAGUCCAUGCCGUAAACGGUGGGCGCUAGGUGUGAGUCCCUUCCACGGGGUUCGUGCCGUAGCUAACGCAUUAAGCGCCCCGCCUGGGGAGUACGGCCGCAAGGCUAAAACUCAAAGGAAUUGACGGGGGCCCGCACAAGCGGCGGAGCAUGUGGAUUAAUUCGAUGCAACGCGAAGAACCUUACCUGGGCUUGACAUACACCAGAUCGUCGUAGAGAUACGGUUUCCCUUUGUGGUUGGUGUACAGGUGGUGCAUGGUUGUCGUCAGCUCGUGUCGUGAGAUGUUGGGUUAAGUCCCGCAACGAGCGCAACCCUUGUCUUAUGUUGCCAGCAAUUUGGUUGGGGACUCGUGAGAGACUGCCGGGGUUAACUCGGAGGAAGGUGGGGAUGACGUCAAAUCAUCAUGCCCCUUAUGUCCAGGGCUUCACACAUGCUACAAUGGUCGGUACAACGCGUUUGCGAGCCUGUGAGGGUGAGCUAAUCGCUGAAAGCCGGUCGUAGUUCGGAUUGGGGUCUGCAAC
RNAcentral lists this ribosomal RNA (722 nucleotides) under uncultured bacterium. RNAcentral's name for it is "bacterial SSU rRNA". It matches the Rfam family "Bacterial small subunit ribosomal RNA", at positions 590 to 1311 of the family's 1533-position model. The record is from RNAcentral.